Molecule: ribosomal RNA, 1092 nt
Filed under: Vibrio cholerae
Lineage: Bacteria; Pseudomonadati; Pseudomonadota; Gammaproteobacteria; Vibrionales; Vibrionaceae
Description: partial 23S ribosomal RNA
Rfam family: Bacterial large subunit ribosomal RNA
Source: RNAcentral
CAGAGGCGAUGAAGGACGUACUAACUUGCGAUAAGCGCAGAUAAGGCAGUAAGAGCCGUUUGAGUCUGCGAUUUCCGAAUGGGGAAACCCAACUGCAUAAGCAGUUACUGUUAACUGAAUACAUAGGUUAACAGAGCAAACCGGGGGAACUGAAACAUCUAAGUACCCCGAGGAGAAGAAAUCAACCGAGAUUCCGGUAGUAGCGGCGAGCGAACCUGGAUUAGCCCUUAAGCACUCGGUGAAGUAGGUGAACAAGCUGGAAAGCUUGGCGAUACAGGGUGAUAGCCCCGUAACCGACGCUUCAUCGAGCGUGAAAUCGAGUAGGGCGGGACACGUGAUAUCCUGUCUGAAUAUGGGGGGACCAUCCUCCAAGGCUAAAUACUCCUGACUGACCGAUAGUGAACCAGUACCGUGAGGGAAAGGCGAAAAGAACCCCUGUGAGGGGAGUGAAAUAGAACCUGAAACCGUGUACGUACAAGCAGUAGGAGCACCUUCGUGGUGUGACUGCGUACCUUUUGUAUAAUGGGUCAGCGACUUAUAUUCAGUGGCAAGGUUAACCGUAUAGGGGAGCCGUAGCGAAAGCGAGUCUUAACUGGGCGCUCAGUCUCUGGAUAUAGACCCGAAACCGGGUGAUCUAGCCAUGGGCAGGUUGAAGGUUGAGUAACAUCAACUGGAGGACCGAACCGACUAAUGUUGAAAAAUUAGCGGAUGACUUGUGGCUAGGGGUGAAAGGCCAAUCAAACUCGGAGAUAGCUGGUUCUCCCCGAAAGCUAUUUAGGUAGCGCCUCGGACGAAUACUACUGGGGGUAGAGCACUGUUAAGGCUAGGGGGUCAUCCCGACUUACCAACCCUUUGCAAACUCCGAAUACCAGUAAGUACUAUCCGGGAGACACACGGCGGGUGCUAACGUCCGUCGUGGAGAGGGAAACAACCCAGACCGCCAGCUAAGGUCCCAAAGUAUUGCUAAGUGGGAAACGAUGUGGGAAGGCUCAGACAGCUAGGAUGUUGGCUUAGAAGCAGCCAUCAUUUAAAGAAAGCGUAAUAGCUCACUAGUCGAGUCGGCCUGCGCGGAAGAUGUAACGGGGCUAAGCA